AGAGAGGUAAGUCGUGUCUUUAAAUCACCACAUUGAUAACAUUAUGUAAACCAAUGUCUCUUCUAUAGAUGUAACUUCUAGUGAAGUAGAAAACACAUCAUGUUGUUCAUAUUAAUGUUCCCUAACUUUUAUCUGAUGUUGGAACAUUGAUAUGAGACAAGGAGUCCCAGAGAGAGACUACAUCUACUAGUGUUCAUGUUAAUGAUGUUCUCACUGUCUUCCAUCUACUCUACAUGUUUACAGAUGUCCUCAAGAAGGAGAGAGGUAAGUCGUGUCUUCAGAUCAUCACUUUGCUAGAUUUAUUUAAACUAUGUUAUGUUUUUGUUGAGCACAAAGUGGAAUCGGUAGUUGCAUCAUCCAUUGUUUUGUUAUAAAUAAAUUUUCUACCCCUUGAUUGUUGAAGAAUAUAACUUAUAAAUGAUUAAAGAGCUUAGUUUAACUGUUGUACCCCAUCAGAACCCCAAAUAGAACCUUGUUUUAUCUCAAUGUUUGUAAACAAAGUAAAUGUAAACAAACACUAUGUGGCCUCAAAACAUGUAUAAAACUAUAAUGUUGAUACAGUAUCAUGGAUGGUCAGUCCUUGUAUCCAUAGCUCUGUCUAUGAAUUUGAGAGUGAUAUUAUUUCUCCAGCCCCUCCCUCAGCUUUUUACCAAAACAACAGUUGCGGGGACCACCUUUUGUUAUUGGCUAUGGCCAACUUCUGAUUGGCCCCAGGUGUUCCUGAUGUUGGAACAGUGAUAUGAGACAAUGAGUCCCAGAGAGAGACUACAUCUUCUAGUGUUCAUGUUAAUGAUGUUCUCACUGUCUUCCAUCUACUCUACAUGUUUACAGUUGACCUCUGGGAGCAGAAUAGUAAGUACUGUCUGCAGAUCAUCACAAGACCCACAAAGUACAUAUUUCUUUAAUUUAACAAUUUUAGGUAUGAAAACACUUUAAGAAGGUUAUUUUGAGCACAUUGAAGAUGUUCCUUCUGAUGUUGUAACAUUGAUAUGAGACAAGGAGUCCCAGAGAGAGAUUACAUCUUCUAGUGUUCAUGUUAAUGAUGUUCUCACUGUCUUCCAUCUACUCUACAUGUUUACAGAUGACCACACUGGGAAGCUAGUUAAGGUUGAAAAGGAUCUGACUAGUCAACUGGAAAUACUGGCUUCUCAGCUGGAUUUUGUGAACACAAACUGGAGUCCAGAUUUUGAAACCAUCAGAAGACAUGAAGGUGUGUUUUAUACUCUGUGACAUCCAGAAAUGAAUUCCUCCCAUACAAAACGUAACAUAUUAUACGAAAUAGAGUGUCUCGGAUUUACUUACAGAAUAAUAGCAAAUGCUUUGAGACCACUUUGGUGGAUUUGACAGCUCUAACGCAGUUCUACCUCUGAUACAAAUCAACCGCUAUGCGUAUGUUGGACAAAUCAGAAAUGAUUGAAUCGAGCCCUAAAUCAUGUAUUAACAUUAGUUUAGAGGUUCUUACACAUGACCUAAUGAAAACUGCUACAGGAUGUCCUGUUAUCUCUACCUCAGUCACACAUGGACCACUAAUAGAGGAAGACAGUAUGAUGUGUCAGAGAUCAAUACAGUAACAUGUUGUCCUCCACUUGUAUUAUACCACUGAUGAUGAUGUCAUUGUGUUUACCAUAGUGUAUUAUACCCUCUGAUGUCAUUGUGUUUACCGUAGUGUAUUAUACCACUGAUGAUGAUAUCAUUGUGUUUACCAUAGUGUAUUAUACCACUGAUGUUGAUGUCAUGAUGUCAUUGUGUUUACCAUAGUGUAUUAUACCACUGAUGUUGAUGUCAUUGUGUUUACCAUAGUGUAUUAUACCACUGAUGAUGUCAUUGUGUUUACCAUAGUGUAUUAUACCACUGAUGUUGAUGUCAUGAUGUCAUUGUGUUUACCAUAGUGUAUUAUACCACUGAUGAUGAUGGCA
Molecule: long non-coding RNA, 1916 nt
Organism: Salvelinus fontinalis (brook trout)
Lineage: Eukaryota; Metazoa; Chordata; Actinopteri; Salmoniformes; Salmonidae
Exons: 5
Source: RefSeq, a predicted model, not a curated record